GGAAUUUAGCUCAGUGGUAGAGCGCUUGCCUAGCAAGCACAAGGCCCUGGGUUCAGUCCCCAGCUCCG
Molecule: non-coding RNA, 68 nt
Organism: Rattus norvegicus (Norway rat)
Lineage: Eukaryota; Metazoa; Chordata; Mammalia; Rodentia; Muridae
Source: Rfam